GCAAUGUAUUUAUAUCUUGUGCCACACUUUAUUGCUAGCCAUCCUGAUUAGAAAUGGCUUCCAGGAAUAUUUCCAUCACAUGUUCUGCCGGUUCACCUGACAACAUUGACAAGUGCAGGAUCAGCAACUCUCAUAUCCAGCACCAGAGGUAUGAGGAUGUGAGAAGAAAAAAAGGACGGAAAUGUGUAGAACCAGAAGCUAGUCUGUAGUCUUCUUGUUUCCGAGGCUGAUUUUGAACUCCUGAUUUGAACUUCAAAUUGAUCCCCUUACCUCAGCCUUCCAAAGGCUAGGAUUAUAGAUCACUCCACCAUUCCCAGCUGUGUGCAAGUACUCUCUGCUUGGCAGGUGUGGAAAGGCCAUGAGUGGGACUUUCAAGGUUGUGAGAUCACUGGAAUGAGCCACAACCAGCAUGAAAAAGCAACUCAGAAGAGAAGUGGUAGAAACAUGAG
Heterocephalus glaber (naked mole-rat) is the source of this 449-nucleotide long non-coding RNA. The record is from Ensembl. Lineage: Eukaryota; Metazoa; Chordata; Mammalia; Rodentia; Bathyergidae.